RNAcentral lists this unclassified non-coding RNA (254 nucleotides) under uncultured Planctomycetia bacterium. Its description in RNAcentral is "contains 16S-23S intergenic spacer region". It matches the Rfam family "Bacterial small subunit ribosomal RNA", at positions 524 to 776 of the family's 1533-position model. The record is from RNAcentral. Lineage: Bacteria; Pseudomonadati; Planctomycetota; Planctomycetia.
UACAGAGGUUGCAAGCGUUAUUCGGAAUCACUGGGCUUAAAGCGCGUGUAGGCGGAUGGCCGCGUCGGUCGCUGAAAGCCCCCGGCUCAACCGGGGGACGGGCGCCGAAACGGGCCGUCUGGAGGGGCGUAGGGGGAGCUGGAACUCACGGUGGAGCGGUGAUAUGCGUUGAGAUCGUGAGGAACGCCCGCGGCGAAAGCGAGCUCCUGGACGCCUGCUGACGCUGAGACGCGAAAGCCAGGGGAGCGAACGGG